AUACGAGGGGUGCAAGCGUUAAUCGGAAUUACAGGGCGUAAAGCGUUCGUAGGCGGUUUGUUAAGCAAGAUGUGAAAGCCCUGGGCUCAACCUGGGAACUGCAUUUUGAACUGGCAAGCUAGAAUACUGUAGAGGGUGGUGGAACUUCCAGUGUAGCGGUGAAAUGCGUAGAGAUUGGAAGGAACAUCAGUGGCGAAGGCGGCCACCUGGACAGAUAUUGACGCUGAGGAACGAAAGCGUGGGGAGCGAACAGGAUUAGAAACCCCAGUAGUCC
This 274-nucleotide ribosomal RNA is filed under the name uncultured bacterium. RNAcentral describes it as "partial 16S ribosomal RNA". It matches the Rfam family "Bacterial small subunit ribosomal RNA", at positions 523 to 796 of the family's 1533-position model. The record is from RNAcentral.